UACGAAGGGUGCAAGCGUUACUCGGAAUUACUGGGCGUAAAGCGUGCGUAGGUGGUCAUGUAAGUCCGCUGUGAAAGUCAAAGGCUCAACCUUUGAAAGCCGGUGGAUACUGCAUGACUAGAGUACGGAAGAGGCGAGUGGAAUUCCUGGUGUAGCGGUGGAAUGCGCAGAUAUCAGGAGGAACACCGAUGGCGAAGGCAGAUCUCUGGGCCAUUACUGACGCUGAGGAGCGAAAGCGUGGGGAGCGAACAGG
This 253-nucleotide ribosomal RNA is filed under the name uncultured bacterium. RNAcentral's name for it is "partial 16S ribosomal RNA". It matches the Rfam family "Bacterial small subunit ribosomal RNA", at positions 524 to 776 of the family's 1533-position model. The record is from RNAcentral.